UGCCGCGUGUGGGAUGAAGCAUCUCUGGUGUGUAAACCACUGUCAGGGGGCGGAAACAAUGAUUGCCCCCAAAGGAAGUGGCGACUAACUCUGUGCCAGCAGUCGCGGUAAUACAGAGGCCACAAGCGUUAAUCGGAAUCACUGGGCUUAAAGGGUGCGUAGGCGGAUUCGCAAGCGUCUUGUGAAAGCCCCCGGCUCAACCGGGGAACUGCAGGGCGAACUGCGAGUCUUGAGGCAGGUAGGGGCCGCGAGAACAGUAGGUGGAGCGGUGAAAUGCGUAGAUAUCUACUGGAAUGCCCGAUGGGGAAGCCGCGCGGCUGGGCCUGACCUGACGCUGAGGCACGAAAGCGUGGGGAGCAAACAGGAUUAGAUACCCUGGUAGUCCACGCCGUAAACGAUGUACGCUAGACCGGUGCGGUUUUGACGCCGUACCGGUCGUAGGAAAACUGAUAAGCGUACCGCCUGGGGAGUACGGUCGCAAGGCUAAAACUCAAAUGAAUUGACGGGGGCUCACACAAGCGGUGGAGCAUGUUGCUUAAUUCGAGGCAACGCGAAGAACCUUACCUGGGUUUGACAUGCAUGGAUCAACUCCUGGAAACAGGAGCCACAGUCGCAAGACCGGAACAUGCACAGGUGCUGCAUGGCUGUCGUCAGCUCGUGCUGUGAAGUGUCGGGUUAAGUCCUCUAACGAGCGCAACCCCUGUCGUUAGUUGCUCACGGGUAAUGCCGAGUACUCUAGCGAGACUGCCGGCGUCAAGCCGGAGGAAGGUGGGGAUGACGUCAAGUCCUCAUGGCCCUUACAUCCAGGGUUGCAAACGUGCUACAAUGGUGCAUACAAAGCGACGCAAGGCCGCGAGGCGGAGCAAAUCGCAAAAAAUGCACCCCAGUUCGGAUUGCAGGCUGCAACUCGCCUGCAUGAAGUCGGAAUCGCUAGUAAUCGGAGAUCAGCUACGCUCCGGUGAAUGUGUUCCUGAGCCUUGUACACACCGCCCGUCACGUCAUGGAAGCCUAGAGUGCCCGAAGCCGCCACAUUUCAGUGGUGACCACGGCAAGAUAGGUGACUGGGACGA
Molecule: ribosomal RNA, 1070 nt
Filed under: uncultured anaerobic ammonium-oxidizing bacterium
Lineage: Bacteria
Description: bacterial SSU rRNA
Rfam family: Bacterial small subunit ribosomal RNA
Source: RNAcentral